Molecule: ribosomal RNA, 230 nt
Filed under: uncultured bacterium
Lineage: Bacteria
Description: partial 16S ribosomal RNA
Rfam family: Bacterial small subunit ribosomal RNA
Source: RNAcentral
AAAGCGUGCGCAGGCGGUUAUAUAAGACAGAUGUGAAAUCCCCGGGCUCAACCUGGGAACUGCAUUUGUGACUGUAUAGCUGGAGUGCGGCAGAGGGGGAUGGAAUUCCGCGUGUAGCAGUGAAAUGCGUAGAUAUGCGGAGGAACACCGAUGGCGAAGGCAAUCCCCUGGGCCUGCACUGACGCUCAUGCACGAAAGCGUGGGGAGCAAACAGGAUUAGAUACCCCAGU